Molecule: transfer RNA, 86 nt
Filed under: Pseudocoprococcus catus
Lineage: Bacteria; Bacillati; Bacillota; Clostridia; Lachnospirales; Lachnospiraceae
Also listed under: 9 other names
Description: Coprococcus catus tRNA
Rfam family: tRNA
About the family: Transfer RNA (tRNA) molecules are approximately 80 nucleotides in length. Their secondary structure includes four short double-helical elements and three loops (D, anti-codon, and T loops).
Source: Rfam by way of RNAcentral
GCCGGCGUGGCGGAACUGGCAGACGCACAGGACUUAAAAUCCUGCGGACCUAAUCGUCCGUACCGGUUCGAUUCCGGUCGCCGGCA